RNAcentral lists this ribosomal RNA (468 nucleotides) under uncultured bacterium. Its description in RNAcentral is "partial 16S ribosomal RNA". It matches the Rfam family "Bacterial small subunit ribosomal RNA", at positions 28 to 507 of the family's 1533-position model. The record is from RNAcentral.
GACGAACGCUGGCGGCGUGCUUAACACAUGCGAGUCGAACGGAAAGGCCCUGCUUUUGUGGGGUGCUCGAGUGGCGAACGGGUGAGUAACACGUGAGUAACCUGCCCUUGACUUUGGGAUAACUUCAGGAAGCUGGGGCUAAUACCGGAUAGGAGCUCCUGCUGCAUGGUGGGGGUUGGAAAGUUUCGGCGGUUGGGGAUGGACUCGCGGCUUAUCAGCUUGUUGGUGGGGUAGUGGCUUACCAAGGCUUUGACGGGUAGCCGGCCUGAGAGGGUGACCGGCCACAUUGGGACUGAGAUACGGCCCAGACUCCUACGGGAGGCAGCAGUGGGGAAUAUUGCACAAUGGGCGGAAGCCUGAUGCAGCAACGCCGCGUGCGGGAUGACGGCCUUCGGGUUGUAAACCGCUUUCGCCUGUGACGAAGCGUGAGUGACGGUAAUGGGUAAAGAAGCACCGGCUAACUACGUG